Non-coding RNA from Physcomitrium patens, 1909 nucleotides. Lineage: Eukaryota; Viridiplantae; Streptophyta; Bryopsida; Funariales; Funariaceae. The record is from RefSeq and is a predicted model, not a curated record.
UGGUUUGCUUUGAAUAGUGUUUGUUUGCAUCAACGGUCAACUAGAUGUGAGUUUUACGUGCUGGGAUUGUCGAAUUUGGUGUGGAGUUGAGUUUUGUGCUGGUGGGAGUGGCGAUGGGGGAGAUGAAGGGGGUUCGGUUGGCGGUUAUGCUGGCCCUUCUGGCGGCUUGUGGUGUCUUUGCUGAGGCAAGCCCUCGCAGGAUUCCGUUGAAGAAGAAGUCCAUCGAUUUGCAGUCGGUGAGGAGCGCCGCGGCGCGCACGCUGCAGAGGGCGAAUGCACUGGCGGGGAGUGCCAAUUCGCUGAGGGGUGGGGAUGCCGUGGAUUUGAACAAUUACAUGGACGCGCAGUAUUUCGGAGAGAUCGGCAUUGGGUCGCCUCCUCAGCCUUUUUCCGUCAUUUUUGACACCGGGAGCUCCAACCUCUGGGUCCCCUCUGCCAAGUGCUACUUGUCGCUUGCGUGCUACUUCCAUCGAAGAUACAAAUCAAGCAAGUCGAGCACCUACAAGGAAGAUGGAACGUCGUUCGCCAUUCAAUAUGGCACUGGGUCCAUGGAAGGUUUCUUGAGCCAAGACGACGUUACUCUUGGUGACCUCACAGUGAAAUGGCAGGUCUUUGCUGAAGCUACGAAGGAGCCUGGUGUCACAUUUGUCUCAGCCAAGUUUGAUGGCAUUCUCGGCCUUGGCUUCAAGGAGAUUUCCGUUGAUCGAGUAACCCCGGUGUGGUACAACAUGUUGGAUCAGGGGCUUGUGAAGGAACCUGUCUUUUCUUUCUGGUUGAACCGAGACAGCGAUGAAUCUGACGGAGGAGAGUUGGUAUUCGGCGGCGUUGAUCCUGACCAUUUCAAGGGGGAACACACAUACACCCCUGUCACACGAAAGGGUUACUGGCAGUUCGAUCUUGGUGAUGUGACCAUUGCUGGGCGCAGCGUUGGAUUCUGUGCACAGGGUUGUUCUGCUAUUGCUGAUUCUGGCACGUCACUGCUUGCGGGGCCAUCUGGAAUUGUGGCUGAAAUCAAUCAAGCUAUUGGUGCAACUGGUAUUGUCAGUCAGCAGUGUAAGAUGGUCGUUCAACAGUACGGCGAGCAGAUUGUCGAGAUGCUCGUGGCGCAGAUGAACCCAGGGAAGGUAUGUGCUUCGCUUGGUUUAUGCCAGCUUGCAGCUGGUGAGCCAGGCAUCGCAAGUGUUUUGGAGAAAGAGGAGGUUCAUUCCCUGCAUGCUGACCCACGGUGCACAGUUUGUGAGAUGGCUUUAGUGUGGGCUCAGAAUCAGCUGAGAAUGAACAGAACCAAGGAGGAGAUAGAUGCUUACUUGAAUCAGCUUUGUGAGCGAUUGCCUAGUCCAAACGGCGAAUCAGCUGUGGAUUGCAAUGCGCUUUCUUAUAUGCCAAACGUCGGCUUUACCAUUGCUGGAAAGUCUUUUGAGCUCACACCAGAGCAGUACAUUCUAAAAAUUGGGGAAGGACCCGAGAAACAGUGCGUCAGUGGUUUCUUGGGACUUGAUGUGCCGCCUCCAGCAGGACCCCUCUGGAUUUUAGGAGAUGUGUUCAUGGGAGUCUAUCACACGGUUUUCGACUUCGGAAACUCUCGUCUCGGAUUUGCGAAGGCAGCCUAAAAGAUGACCCGCCCCACUUAUCAAGUUGCCAUCCCUCUUGUGGAGGAAAUGAUGGUUGCUGUUGAAGUGGUCGUUCUGUGGCAUACUAUGUUCUCAAACACCCUCCCAGCUCGAUCUAUUGUACAUUGGUAUGGUUAAGGUCGUAGUGUUGACUCGAAAGUUGGGCACGCUGAGACAACAGAAUGCCAGCUCAGUUCAUUUGAUGGUGUUGAAGGCCGUGGAAAGUUUGCAUGGUCAUGGCGGCAUCUUUUGUCUUCUGCAACUUUUUUUUUUUUUUUUUUUUUUUUUUUUUAAAUUUU